RNAcentral lists this small RNA (925 nucleotides) under uncultured Patulibacter sp. Its description in RNAcentral is "bacterial SSU rRNA". The stretch from base 1 to 471 matches the Rfam family "Bacterial small subunit ribosomal RNA", at positions 1064 to 1533 of the family's 1533-position model. The record is from RNAcentral. Lineage: Bacteria; Bacillati; Actinomycetota; Thermoleophilia; Solirubrobacterales; Patulibacteraceae.
GUCGUGAGAUGUUGGGUUAAGUCCCGCAACGAGCGCAACCCCCGUCGCAUGUUGCCAGCAUUCAGUUGGGGACUCAUGCGAGACUGCCGGUGACAAACCGGAGGAAGGCGGGGAUGAGGUCAAGUCAUCAUGCCCCUUAUGUCCAGGGCUACACACGUGCUACAUUGGCGCGUACAAAGGGCUGCGAUACCGCGAGGUGGAGCGAAUCCCUUAAAGCGCGUCUCGGUUCGGAUUGCAGGCUGAAACUCGCCUGCAUGAAGGCGGAGUUGCUAGUAAUCGUGGAUCAGCACUGCCACGGUGAAUACGUUCCCGGGCCUUGUACACACCGCCCGUCACACCACGGGAGUGAGCAACACCCGAAGCCGGUGGCCUAACCCGCAAGGGAGGGAGCCGUCGACGGUGGGGCUCGUGACUGGGGUGAAGUCGUAACAAGGUAGCCGUAGCGGAAGCUGCGGCUGGAUCACCUCCUUUCUAGGGAGCGCCGAAAGGCGCCCCGGCGGAGCCGCCGGCCCAUUCCGGGCCGUUCGAGCGACCGUCGGGCCUAGCACGUCGACCGAACCUGACCGGCCAUACAAGGCUGUCGUUCGCGCUCUUUCUUGCGGCGCGGCGCCGGCUGGCCGGCAUGCUGUUGAGUUUUGAGAGACCGGCGCCGCCGGGCGCCCUCCGCGCAUGUCGCGGCCAGGGCGCCGACAGUACGGCGAACGCGGCUCCGGCGAUCCUUGAAAACUGCACAGUUAGCCACGGUGGUCGCGCGCCAAGCGCGAUCGCCUAUCAACAACGGGUAUCACCGAACCAUUAAUGGUUUGAUCACCGUCAAGAUAGUAAGGGCACGUGGUGGAUGCCUUGGCACUAAGAGUCGAUGAAGGACGUGGACGGCUGCGAUAAGCCGCGGUGAGGCGCUGAACAGCCUAUGAUCCGCGGAUUC